RNAcentral lists this transfer RNA (71 nucleotides) under Asymblepharus sp. RNAcentral's name for it is "tRNA-Trp". It matches the Rfam family "tRNA". Rfam says of the family: Transfer RNA (tRNA) molecules are approximately 80 nucleotides in length. The record is from RNAcentral. Lineage: Eukaryota; Metazoa; Chordata; Lepidosauria; Squamata; Scincidae.
AGAAGAUUAGGUUAACCUUAAACCAGUAGCCUUCAAAGCUACAAACAGGGAUUAAACCACCCUACCUUCUG